UACGUAGGGGGCGAGCGUUGUCCGGAAUCAUUGGGCGUAAAGAGCUCGUAGGCGGCUUAGUAAGUCGGUCGUGAAAGCCCGAGGCUCAACUUCGGGACUGCGGUCGAUACUGCUAUAGCUAGAGUUUGGUAGAGGAGAACGGAAUUCCCGGUGUAGCGGUGGAAUGCGCAGAUAUCGAGAGGAACACCGGUGGCGAAGGCGGCUUCCUGGACAGUUACUGACGCUGAGACGCGAAAGCGUGGGGAGCAAACAGG
RNAcentral lists this ribosomal RNA (254 nucleotides) under uncultured bacterium. Its description in RNAcentral is "partial 16S ribosomal RNA". It matches the Rfam family "Bacterial small subunit ribosomal RNA", at positions 524 to 776 of the family's 1533-position model. The record is from RNAcentral.